Molecule: ribosomal RNA, 806 nt
Filed under: Salmonella enterica
Lineage: Bacteria; Pseudomonadati; Pseudomonadota; Gammaproteobacteria; Enterobacterales; Enterobacteriaceae
Description: partial 23S ribosomal RNA
Rfam family: Bacterial large subunit ribosomal RNA
Source: RNAcentral
CGAUAGUGAACCAGUACCGUGAGGGAAAGGCGAAAAGAACCCCGGCGAGGGGAGUGAAAAAGAACCUGAAACCGUGUACGUACAAGCAGUGGGAGCCCCACCACUAAGCCAGUGGUGAACUCCACAUACGCAUCCUUUGCUGAGGAUACGGUUAACGGAGCGAAAGCGACGUUCAACCGCAAAAGAAGCAGAGGGGGCUUAGUGGUGGGGUGACUGCGUACCUUUUGUAUAAUGGGUCAGCGACUUAUAUUCUGUAGCAAGGUUAACCGAAUAGGGGAGCCGGAGGGAAACCGAGUCUUAAUUGGGCGUUAAGUUGCAGGGUAUAGACCCGAAACCCGGUGAUCUAGCCAUGGGCAGGUUGAAGGUUGGGUAACACUAACUGGAGGACCGAACCGACUAAUGUUGAAAAAUUAGCGGAUGACCUGUGGCUGGGGGUGAAAGGCCAAUCAAACCGGGAGAUAGCUGGUUCUCCCCGAAAGCUAUUUAGGUAGCGCCUCGUGAAUUCAUCUCCGGGGGUAGAGCACUGUUUCGGCUAGGGGGCCAUCCCGGCUUACCAACCCGAUGCAAACUGCGAAUACCGGAGAAUGUUAUCACGGGAGACACACGGCGGGUGCUAACGUCCGUCGUGAAGAGGGAAACAACCCAGACCGCCAGCUAAGGUCCCAAAGUCAUGGUUAAGUGGGAAACGAUGUGGGAAGGCCCAGACAGCCAGGAUGUUGGCUUAGAAGCAGCCAUCAUUUAAAGAAAGCGUAAUAGCUCACUGGUCGAGUCGGCCUGCGCGGAAGAUGUAACGGGGCUAAACCAUG